This 2904-nucleotide ribosomal RNA is filed under the name Escherichia coli. Its description in RNAcentral is "23S ribosomal RNA". It matches the Rfam family "Bacterial large subunit ribosomal RNA". Lineage: Bacteria; Pseudomonadati; Pseudomonadota; Gammaproteobacteria; Enterobacterales; Enterobacteriaceae. The record is from RNAcentral.
GGUUAAGCGACUAAGCGUACACGGUGGAUGCCCUGGCAGUCAGAGGCGAUGAAGGACGUGCUAAUCUGCGAUAAGCGUCGGUAAGGUGAUAUGAACCGUUAUAACCGGCGAUUUCCGAAUGGGGAAACCCAGUGUGUUUCGACACACUAUCAUUAACUGAAUCCAUAGGUUAAUGAGGCGAACCGGGGGAACUGAAACAUCUAAGUACCCCGAGGAAAAGAAAUCAACCGAGAUUCCCCCAGUAGCGGCGAGCGAACGGGGAGCAGCCCAGAGCCUGAAUCAGUGUGUGUGUUAGUGGAAGCGUCUGGAAAGGCGCGCGAUACAGGGUGACAGCCCCGUACACAAAAAUGCACAUGCUGUGAGCUCGAUGAGUAGGGCGGGACACGUGGUAUCCUGUCUGAAUAUGGGGGGACCAUCCUCCAAGGCUAAAUACUCCUGACUGACCGAUAGUGAACCAGUACCGUGAGGGAAAGGCGAAAAGAACCCCGGCGAGGGGAGUGAAAAAGAACCUGAAACCGUGUACGUACAAGCAGUGGGAGCACGCUUAGGCGUGUGACUGCGUACCUUUUGUAUAAUGGGUCAGCGACUUAUAUUCUGUAGCAAGGUUAACCGAAUAGGGGAGCCGAAGGGAAACCGAGUCUUAACUGGGCGUUAAGUUGCAGGGUAUAGACCCGAAACCCGGUGAUCUAGCCAUGGGCAGGUUGAAGGUUGGGUAACACUAACUGGAGGACCGAACCGACUAAUGUUGAAAAAUUAGCGGAUGACUUGUGGCUGGGGGUGAAAGGCCAAUCAAACCGGGAGAUAGCUGGUUCUCCCCGAAAGCUAUUUAGGUAGCGCCUCGUGAAUUCAUCUCCGGGGGUAGAGCACUGUUUCGGCAAGGGGGUCAUCCCGACUUACCAACCCGAUGCAAACUGCGAAUACCGGAGAAUGUUAUCACGGGAGACACACGGCGGGUGCUAACGUCCGUCGUGAAGAGGGAAACAACCCAGACCGCCAGCUAAGGUCCCAAAGUCAUGGUUAAGUGGGAAACGAUGUGGGAAGGCCCAGACAGCCAGGAUGUUGGCUUAGAAGCAGCCAUCAUUUAAAGAAAGCGUAAUAGCUCACUGGUCGAGUCGGCCUGCGCGGAAGAUGUAACGGGGCUAAACCAUGCACCGAAGCUGCGGCAGCGACGCUUAUGCGUUGUUGGGUAGGGGAGCGUUCUGUAAGCCUGCGAAGGUGUGCUGUGAGGCAUGCUGGAGGUAUCAGAAGUGCGAAUGCUGACAUAAGUAACGAUAAAGCGGGUGAAAAGCCCGCUCGCCGGAAGACCAAGGGUUCCUGUCCAACGUUAAUCGGGGCAGGGUGAGUCGACCCCUAAGGCGAGGCCGAAAGGCGUAGUCGAUGGGAAACAGGUUAAUAUUCCUGUACUUGGUGUUACUGCGAAGGGGGGACGGAGAAGGCUAUGUUGGCCGGGCGACGGUUGUCCCGGUUUAAGCGUGUAGGCUGGUUUUCCAGGCAAAUCCGGAAAAUCAAGGCUGAGGCGUGAUGACGAGGCACUACGGUGCUGAAGCAACAAAUGCCCUGCUUCCAGGAAAAGCCUCUAAGCAUCAGGUAACAUCAAAUCGUACCCCAAACCGACACAGGUGGUCAGGUAGAGAAUACCAAGGCGCUUGAGAGAACUCGGGUGAAGGAACUAGGCAAAAUGGUGCCGUAACUUCGGGAGAAGGCACGCUGAUAUGUAGGUGAAGUCCCUUGCGGAUGGAGCUGAAAUCAGUCGAAGAUACCAGCUGGCUGCAACUGUUUAUUAAAAACACAGCACUGUGCAAACACGAAAGUGGACGUAUACGGUGUGACGCCUGCCCGGUGCCGGAAGGUUAAUUGAUGGGGUCAGCGCAAGCGAAGCUCUUGAUCGAAGCCCCGGUAAACGGCGGCCGUAACUAUAACGGUCCUAAGGUAGCGAAAUUCCUUGUCGGGUAAGUUCCGACCUGCACGAAUGGCGUAAUGAUGGCCAGGCUGUCUCCACCCGAGACUCAGUGAAAUUGAACUCGCUGUGAAGAUGCAGUGUACCCGCGGCAAGACGGAAAGACCCCGUGAACCUUUACUAUAGCUUGACACUGAACAUUGAGCCUUGAUGUGUAGGAUAGGUGGGAGGCUUUGAAGUGUGGACGCCAGUCUGCAUGGAGCCGACCUUGAAAUACCACCCUUUAAUGUUUGAUGUUCUAACGUUGACCCGUAAUCCGGGUUGCGGACAGUGUCUGGUGGGUAGUUUGACUGGGGCGGUCUCCUCCUAAAGAGUAACGGAGGAGCACGAAGGUUGGCUAAUCCUGGUCGGACAUCAGGAGGUUAGUGCAAUGGCAUAAGCCAGCUUGACUGCGAGCGUGACGGCGCGAGCAGGUGCGAAAGCAGGUCAUAGUGAUCCGGUGGUUCUGAAUGGAAGGGCCAUCGCUCAACGGAUAAAAGGUACUCCGGGGAUAACAGGCUGAUACCGCCCAAGAGUUCAUAUCGACGGCGGUGUUUGGCACCUCGAUGUCGGCUCAUCACAUCCUGGGGCUGAAGUAGGUCCCAAGGGUAUGGCUGUUCGCCAUUUAAAGUGGUACGCGAGCUGGGUUUAGAACGUCGUGAGACAGUUCGGUCCCUAUCUGCCGUGGGCGCUGGAGAACUGAGGGGGGCUGCUCCUAGUACGAGAGGACCGGAGUGGACGCAUCACUGGUGUUCGGGUUGUCAUGCCAAUGGCACUGCCCGGUAGCUAAAUGCGGAAGAGAUAAGUGCUGAAAGCAUCUAAGCACGAAACUUGCCCCGAGAUGAGUUCUCCCUGACCCUUUAAGGGUCCUGAAGGAACGUUGAAGACGACGACGUUGAUAGGCCGGGUGUGUAAGCGCAGCGAUGCGUUGAGCUAACCGGUACUAAUGAACCGUGAGGCUUAACCUU